CGAGUUCCUCCCAGCUCCCGGGGUCUCCUUUCCUACCAGAAGCUUUCCUCCUUUCUUUUCUGCCCCGUCACGUGUGACACAAUGAAGGCACCUGACCCAGAUGGCACCUGUGUGAGGAUGGCUUCUAUCACCGGUAGGUCCUCCCUGUUUAACCCGACAGUGGUAUCCAGUUUUAAUUUGCAAAUGAUCUCCCUGCUCAUUGCUCCCCAAAUCCUUCAGGCAGUCACCUGUAGAAUAAAGAAAAGCACAGGCUGGUCAAAGACAGUCUCGGGCCAUUUUGCCAAAUUAUCUCCACAGUUGUCGUGGGAGCACAGGAAAUCCGUUUCACUGCCGAGCAAAGAUGCUAAAAUUUGGGAAAUGAAACAUGCUGUGAAGUGGCCACACUGCUCCCAAACCAAUGUCUCCGUGUUGUGCCCUUGCUGGGCGGUGGAAGAGGGCAGAUGGCCCGAGAUUGUCUGAUUAGCGGGGUAAUAAGCACCCGGCUCGGAGGGGACAUGAGUGGCAGAACAGAGGGGUGAAGAGAGGCCACCUGCAAGGGACGAGUGGUCUCAGAGCUGAGCUUGUGAUAGCUCCUGUCGGUUCGGGGGAAACUGUUUAGAAAGAGGAACCUGCGAAAGACCCCUGGGGACCCAGCACCCUGAUCAGGGUUCUCAGCCACAUCUCUCCCUUGUCUGAAAACACCUCCAUCAACCUUAGCAGCUCUCCCCUUGCUGCCUCUCUUCCUGGAGUCACCCAGUUGAUCUUAACGUCUCGGCCAGGGGGGAAGGCGAUGGCGGGAGUGCAGCCAGCAAGAGCCCAGGCCGUGGCACCGAGAGAACAGCGACCUUGCGCUCAUUUAGUCACACAAGUGACAAUUCGUCUCCAUCUGUGUGUCCAGCCCCUCAGUGACACAGGCAGGAUUCCUGUUCCUAAAGCUCAUGUUCGUGGUGGAGAACAUUAAUAAUUGAUGAUGGGGAUGGGGAUGUGGGGGCCAAGGACACCCAGGGCCGGGGCACACAUUGGAGGUGGUGUGGAAGUGUGGAAGGGGGGGUGCAUCCCAAGCUGCCAGGACCAGGCGUAGACAGGGAGGAGCGGGGAGCACACAGCCCCGCGUGGCAUCUGGUGUCCUUUCAGACACCCCCGAACGCUCUCUGCCUCACCCCCAUUUUAGCUGCCUAAAGGUGGCCCUGGUGUGGGAACGGGGGGAGCAGGAAGGCCUUGGACCAGAGUGCAUCCAGAGGGCGUUCCAAGGUCGGCUGACACAGUUCUGGUCUCCUGUUCCAUGUGCUCAGGUUGUAUGCCUGUGCAUAUUUUAAACUAACAUUUCAUGUGAAAUUUAAGUCACAACAAAAUGAGAGCUCAUAGGGCAGGAAAACCUGGAUUUGAAGGUGCAUGCCUGUUAUCCCAGAACUCAGGAGGCUGAGGCAGGAAUUGGCAGCCAGCCUGGGCUACAUAGUGAGUCCCAUAUGAGACCCUGAGAAAAGCGAACAAAAAAACAGGGCAGGGAAAUCCACAUACUCUACAUCAACCAUCAAUUGCACUUGUCAGUUCAGCCACACCCAAUGUUCUUUUCUUUUUGAGACAGGGUCUUUCUGCUUUGCCCAGGCUGGUUUCUAAUUCCUGAGGUCAAGUGACCCUAUAUUGCAUUACAUAUAUGUUGUAUGCUAAUAUUUAUUUAAAUAUGUUACAUAUCAAACUUAGUAUCAGUCAGUUAGAAUGCCCCUAAGAACUCGUUCUGGUUUUUGUUUAGUGUUUACAGUAUUUUGUUCCUUGUUAUUUCAUCUUAUGAUUUUUCCUCUAUACAAAACCCCUUUCAAUGGCAGAUAAAGCCUUCUUGGAAACAUGCCAUGUUGUAUUUGUUAAAAUCUAUGUAACUCUUUCAGUGCCUCAUGACUGACAGCAGCAGCUUGCAUAUCACCAUGCCAAGCUUGUGCAAGAAAUUCUGUUAAAGAGUACAAGGCUGAAGGAAGAGCACAACACUCUG
Molecule: long non-coding RNA, 1963 nt
Filed under: Heterocephalus glaber (naked mole-rat)
Lineage: Eukaryota; Metazoa; Chordata; Mammalia; Rodentia; Bathyergidae
Description: lncRNA (ENSHGLG00100050773.1)
Source: RNAcentral